Hypomesus transpacificus is the source of this 174-nucleotide long non-coding RNA. RefSeq lists it as uncharacterized. NCBI's taxonomy places the organism in Eukaryota, Metazoa, Chordata, Actinopteri, Osmeriformes, Osmeridae. The transcript is spliced from 3 exons. The record is from RefSeq and is a predicted model, not a curated record.
UUAGAAUGGAGAACAGGACUGAAAGAGAACCACGACGUGGAGGAAGAACAUGCACUUUCACAGCCGAACAGGAGACUGACAUUGUGAAAAUGGAAUGCCAUGCGGAUGAAACAAGUGUACAUGGUCCUAUUUGACCGGAACACAGACCACAUCAAGGAGUUACGGCAAGAGUUU